Molecule: long non-coding RNA, 1273 nt
Filed under: Chrysemys picta bellii (western painted turtle)
Lineage: Eukaryota; Metazoa; Chordata; Testudines; Emydidae
Description: lncRNA (ENSCPBG00000016954.1)
Source: RNAcentral
AGCGCCGUUUGCCAAUUGAGCGCGCUCACGGGCUGCCAGGCUCUGGUGCGCGCACCCGCUCAGCACUCUUACUCCUGGAGCGCGCUCCCGCUCCCUGACGCGCGCUCCGCGCUAUGUCUCUCGCGCCCCCUCGCUCAGUCAGUCGGAGGCUCCGUUAAGCGACGGCAGGUUCCUGUUUCCGUAUUUUCACCCCCCCACACCCGCAUCCGCGCGCCGGCGCCUCCUUAGAGCCGGCACCCGCAGCAGGGGGGGAGCCCGCGGGCGGGCGGUGCUGCUGCUACUCAGGUCACUGUCAUUGUAAAAUCCAAGGAGAGAAGCAGAUACAUGUGACCCAGCUUCAUAGAUUACCUUCUAUAGAAGAAAAAAGGCACAGGUUGGUACCAUAAUUGAGACAUAUACUUUCAUUAUUCUCUUACGUAUUCUGAUUUUAAAUAUUAAACAUUUGGAGUGUUUUGUCAACUGUAUAAAAUGACUGUUUUCAUGGCUGCUUCUCUUCAUAAUUUUGAAUAACAAGUUGUUGAGGAUUAUCCAUUCAAAUAUCGGCUGCAAAUUGAAAUACAGUGGGUCUGAUUCUCUACUGCUUUUCUACACCUAGUGUAAUCAUUUACACAUCUGCAAAUAGAGUGCAAGGAGAGUGUAAAACACUACCAAAAUACUCAUUGCUGUAUUUUACACUCACUUUAUACAAGUGUAAGUAACUGCAUAAGGUGCAAGUCAGUUGAGAAUUGUUUGAGUUAGGAUAUCUAAAAAUAUUGUUACCCCCUUUGACCCAAGUGGCUAGCCAGGUUUGGGGUGUUGUGGGUAGAAGUGACUGAAGAAUAUAAUUGUUUUUGUCCUUUUGAUGGCUGUCAUUUCAAUCACCUCUUUACAUUCAUCCUGAAUGAAAAAUGGCAGUUAUGGCCAACUCAUAACAACAGGGUUUAACCCAACACACAACAAAGCGUUCACUUUAAUCUGAGUAUGAGGAUUUUUAAAAAACACGUUUAUCAUUUCACCACUGAUGCUCUUUACUAAAUUUCACUUUCUGAUUCUCGUGCUACUGUGCUGAUGGGAUGUUUGGAUUUCAGACACUGCAGAGGAAUGUUUAAAUCCAAACUACAAAGUUUUCAUUACAAUUAUAAAAGAAGUUUCUCUUAGUAGACUUUUUGUUUGUAAAAAAAAAACUGCAUUAAACAAACCUAAAUUUUCAGCCCAAAGUACUAUGAUCAUGUCCUUUAAUCUUUCUUCCAAGGGAUUUCAAAUAAAUGGUUUGUGAUUACGGAAAUUGUAACCA